Molecule: ribosomal RNA, 404 nt
Filed under: uncultured prokaryote
Also listed under: 1 other name
Description: bacterial SSU rRNA
Rfam family: Bacterial small subunit ribosomal RNA
Source: RNAcentral
UGGGGAAUAUUGGACAAUGGGCGCAAGCCUGAUCCAGCAAUGCCGCGUGGGUGAAGAAGGUCUUCGGAUUGUAAAGCCCUUUCGACGGGGACGAUGAUGACGGUACCCGUAGAAGAAGCCCCGGCUAACUUCGUGCCAGCAGCCGCGGUAAUACGAAGGGGGCUAGCGUUGCUCGGAAUGACUGGGCGUAAAGGGCGCGUAGGCGGAUUGUACAGUCAGGUGUGAAAUUCCUGGGCUCAACCUGGGGGCUGCACUUGAUACGUAUGAUCUUGAGUCCGGAAGAGGGUGGUGGAAUUCCCAGUGUAGAGGUGAAAUUCGUAGAUAUUGGGAAGAACACCGGUGGCGAAGGCGGCCACCUGGUCCGGUACUGACGCUGAGGCGCGAAAGCGUGGGGAGCAAACAGG